CCUCAUCAUGACGUAUUUUUGGACUGAUGCGACUUAUACUCCGGUGCGACUUAAAGUCCGAAAAAUGCGCUAUAUGUUGAAAUAAACUGACAUAUGUUGCCAUGUCAUGUAAAUUACACAUUUACACAUGCUAUGUAAGAGUGUUUGUAGAUGUGUUGUCAUCAUCAGUUGCAUUAAGUUAACUGGAUAUUUUAUUUUUAAAACUGGCUUGUGAUCUAGUAGUUACAGGGGAAGGAAUGUUUCUUUUAUUGGGGCUCUUAUAUUUCAUGAUUUUAUUUAUGUGUAAUUAUAAAUAUUAUGUUAACUUUUUUCUUUGACAUUCUCAUUUUUAUAUAUUUGCUUAUUUGUCCCUUAUUUGGACACUGGGUCUGCUGUAUGUUAUGCGAAGAGAAAGUUAAUACAAAAAUGUAAGGGUGAUAAUGUUGGAAUUACCAGAUUAAUGCUGCAAUCUUGAGAAUCAGUUUAUACACUGAUCACAGUAAGGGCACCCUGAGUGUUUUGGCAUUAGCAGACACAUAAACUACAUAAAAACAUGAGACAAACACAAGCUAAUGCUAUGUCAUGCUAAUGUUAGUUGUAUUUCAUCCGCCCCUUUCCAUAACAUUGUAAUAAUGUUUAUUACAAACUGGACAUAAAAAAAUGCACUUUCGAUAAAGCAAUGUACAAAUUGUAAACCAGGUGAAUAAUCUGGUUUUGGAGUGGAGUGGACCUUGUGGAUGAAAGAUGGGACUGGAUCCCCCUGUCCCAAAUAAAAUCAAACAAAAACACAUCAACCAUC
Long non-coding RNA from Carassius carassius (crucian carp), 778 nucleotides. RefSeq lists it as uncharacterized. Lineage: Eukaryota; Metazoa; Chordata; Actinopteri; Cypriniformes; Cyprinidae. The transcript has 2 exons. The record is from RefSeq and is a predicted model, not a curated record.